UUCUAUGUUAGGUGUUUUGUGUAAGAUUUUAUUUUUAGGUUUAUUUGUUUUUGUUGAUGGAUAUUAAGCACACUAAAAAUAUUUUUAAGUCUCAAUUUAGUUCUAUAUCUUUUUAAUAGAUCCUCUAGAUCACUAUUUAGAUUAUUGAGUUGAUUGAUUUGAUUGCCACUUGAUUACUAUUUUAUCAUGUUUUGAUCUUUAACAGAGUUGUACCCUAGUGCCUCAUUAUGGCCUGGAGGUGACGGCAAUGGAACAUCAUUGGGUUUGGCAGUUACCAGUGAAGACACUGUCCACUUGCAGAAGACUAGCUUCACUAACAAUGGAGACUCCUCACCAAUAGGCAAUCACAUGACAAGAGCAGCAGCCUAUGGACUGGAAGAAAAGCUGGAUGUCAGCUGUAAGAGCAUCAUACUGAAAACCGUCUGUCUCCAUCAGUCUUCACUGCAUUAAAAAAAUGUAGAAAAUUUGUGAAAUACAACUUUGAAGUACACUAGUAUUUUGAGAUAUCUCAAUUCAAAUUGAUUUCAGAGAAUAAAAUAAGGUAGAUUUGUUUUUAAAAAGGCA
This 564-nucleotide long non-coding RNA is filed under the name Phascolarctos cinereus (koala). Its description in RNAcentral is "lncRNA (ENSPCIG00000034494.1)". The record is from RNAcentral. Lineage: Eukaryota; Metazoa; Chordata; Mammalia; Diprotodontia; Phascolarctidae.